GAAAUGCGAUAAGUAAUGUGAAUUGCAGAAUUCAGUGAAUCAUCGAAUCUUUGAACGCACAUUGCGCCCGCCAGCAUUCUGGCGGGCAUGCCUGUUCGAGCGUCAUUUCAACCCUCGCAGCCCCUCUGGGCAGCGGUGUUGGGGACCGGCACAACUGGCGCGCCCCCGUGGCGCCCGGCGCCGCCCCCGAAAUACAGUGGCGGUCCCGCCGCAGCCUCCCUUGCGUAGUAGCACACCUCGCACCGGAGCGCGGCGCGGCCAUGCCGUAAAACCCCCGACUUUCUGAGUUUGACCUCGAAUCAGGUAGGAAUACCCGCUGAACUUAA
Molecule: unclassified non-coding RNA, 326 nt
Filed under: uncultured Eucasphaeria
Lineage: Eukaryota; Fungi; Ascomycota; Sordariomycetes; Hypocreales
Description: sequence contains ITS1
Rfam family: 5.8S ribosomal RNA (bases 1-105)
Source: RNAcentral